GACGAACGCUGGCGGCGUGCUUAACACAUGCAAGUCGAACGGAAAGGCCCUGCUUUUGUGGGGUGCUCGAGUGGCGAACGGGUGAGUAACACGUGAGUAACCUGCCCUUGACUUUGGGAUAACUUCAGGAAACUGGGGCUAAUACCGGAUAGGAGCUCCUGCUGCAUGGUGGGGGUUGGAAAGUUUCGGCGGUUGGGGAUGGACUCGCGGCUUAUCAGCCUGUUGGUGGGGUAGUGGCUUAACAAGUCUUUGACGGGUAGCCGGCCUGAGAGGGUGACCGGCCACAUUGGGACUGAGAUACGGACCAGACUCCUACGCGAGGCAGCAGUGGGGAAUGUUGCACAAUGGGCGGAAGCCUGAUGCGGCAACCCCGCGUGCGGGAUGACGGCCUUCGGGUUGUAGACCGCUUUCGCCUGUGACGAAGCGUGAGUGACGGUAAUGGGUAAAGAAGCACCGGCUAACUACGUG
RNAcentral lists this ribosomal RNA (468 nucleotides) under uncultured bacterium. RNAcentral's name for it is "partial 16S ribosomal RNA". It matches the Rfam family "Bacterial small subunit ribosomal RNA", at positions 28 to 507 of the family's 1533-position model. The record is from RNAcentral.